This is a transfer RNA of Camelus ferus (Wild Bactrian camel), 73 nucleotides long. It matches the Rfam family "tRNA". From Rfam's summary of the family: Transfer RNA (tRNA) molecules are approximately 80 nucleotides in length. Lineage: Eukaryota; Metazoa; Chordata; Mammalia; Artiodactyla; Camelidae. The record is from Rfam.
GAGGGUAUAGCUCAAGUGGUAGAGUGCAUGCUUAGCAUGCAUGAGGUCCUGGGUUCAAUACUCAGUACCUCCU